UUAACAUCUAUUCCAGACGAAACAAUUCUGCAUACUAUAAAUGGCGAAGAUGCAGGAGUGGUCAAGCGUAGGUUUAGGUAUUUAGGGAGAUUGAGAAAGCAUUUUUGGUCCAGGUGGAGGAAGGAAUACUUAACAAGUUUAAGGGAGUGCCAUAAGGUUGGCAAAGUUAAGGGUAGUUUGUGUCCGAAAGUAGGUGAUAUAGUUCUUGUGUUUGAGGAAAGUUUGAAAAGAGGAUUUUGGAAAAUAGCAGCGAGAAUCGAGAGAUUGAUCAAGG
Molecule: long non-coding RNA, 274 nt
Organism: Xenia sp. Carnegie-2017
Lineage: Eukaryota; Metazoa; Cnidaria; Anthozoa; Malacalcyonacea; Xeniidae
Exons: 2
Source: RefSeq, a predicted model, not a curated record